RNAcentral lists this long non-coding RNA (595 nucleotides) under Equus caballus (horse). Its description in RNAcentral is "lncRNA (ENSECAG00000056330.1)". The record is from RNAcentral. Lineage: Eukaryota; Metazoa; Chordata; Mammalia; Perissodactyla; Equidae.
AUUGCUUCGAGGACUACCUGAGAGCACGUAUUUGUGAAGACAGCUGCUGAGCCUAUAAUAGCUGCUCACAAAUGUUUGCAGAACCUGAAGUCCCAGCUCACCGAGUCUUUCCCAACACUUCUCUUCCAUCGCAAUCCUGCUCAGGCAUUGAAGCGCUUAAGCAAUUCUAGAAACAGCAGAACAAGACACAGUCCUGGCCUCUCAAGAAUUACGGUUUGUUAGGGGAGAUGAGACAUUUCCAAGAUAUCCAACCCUGAUUUCAACAGCUCCCAAAGCAGCUGGCAUGAUGCUCUCUGCAGGGUCGUUGGACGCCCACCCACUUCACAAACAGGACAUUUGGAGGAAGAUACUACAUUUUCUUUUCAACUUCUGAGAAAACAGAGUCUCCACGAGGCACGUGGUCUGGUCUGCAGAGUGAGAUUUCUCUCCCUGUGCACUGUGGCAAUGCAUUCACCACAAACCCCUCAACAGAGGCUGACAUUCUUAUAAGAAGUUAAAAACGAAAUGCAAUUCUAAUCCUUAGGAGAGUCAUCUUUUUGUCUGUGUUUUUCCUUGCUUGUCUCUAGGUCUCUGCCAAUUUAGAGUCAGAGACAAU